ACCAUUUCUUGAUUCUCAAAUCUUGCUCACACUCUUUCUCAUGAAAGUAUAUAAAUAACAUAGCGGAAGUGACUUGCCGCAAAAGACUGAUAGGGUUGCUACAUAGACACGGGAAAAUUAAUAUCAAUGAGGACUAUUUCAUCAACAUUUGAAUAUAGAUAUGGUGAUCUAUCCAAGCAUUAUACAUGAUGAACUGGCUAUCUUGCAAGGUCAUCAUGAAAGGGCUCAGUUCCGAAAUGCCCUAUGAACCAGCGUUUCCGUACUAAUACUAGUCAAAAUAACUAAGCCAACAUAGGGCAUACAAAAGCAUCGAAAUGAUCGUCGUUUUCGAAAUACACAAAUAAUGUCCUACUAAAUGCACAAGAGAUUGUCUGUAUGCAUUAUGUGCUUGACCCUUGGGUUGAAGCAUACGUGUUUGACUGAUUUAAUCUGAUGAGUAUCUGUUUAUCCUUGGUCACAAAAAAUCUACCAACAGUUAGUAGAUCACAAUGAUUCAAAUCACAAAUGGCAAUUAGACAAAGUGUUUCAAUAAUUUGCCAAACAAUUGAAAAUGAAUAACCAUAGGGUAGAAAUGAAUUGACUGAAAGGUCGAAGCAAAAUGACCUAAUAGUCUGACCCCGUUUGGCUUUUCAGAUGAAGGUUUAAAAUAUAUAGGUUUAAAGACCCAUAUAUGACGACUACUGAGAUUUUGGCCAUGUGGACUGGCCAGGUCCGACACAACUACUUCUCAGUCACUCGGAAAUACUUUUCCGAACUUGGUAACUCUUGUUCAUUUGCUGCAAGAGGUAUACUUGGUCUAAAAUCACCACUUUCUUCUUAACAUCUUGAACAUGUCCUUGACAAUAUUCUAGAGCUUCUCAAACUUGGAGUCUGCCUCCUAAUUUAAUGAAAUCCCUAAACAUCUUCUAUAGGCGAAAUGAGGUAGGCUCAACCUUACUCAUCAAUCUUCCACUACAUGAUCUUAAAUAUAGUACUUCUAGUACUUAGUGUUCCUUCACAUAGCGCUUGAAAUGCAACCAUAUAAUUUGAAGCACUCUUCCGUGUCAUUAAAAAAAAAACUUCUGAAUCAUCACGCAUUCAAUAAGGAAAUAGAUUUUGCUCCUCUGAGCAUCUUUACAGGGUAUGCGUCACCAUACGUAAUCCUAAGUCAUGGAAUGACCUUAGUCAACGCUCUCACUCC
Molecule: long non-coding RNA, 1180 nt
Filed under: Salvia miltiorrhiza (redroot sage)
Lineage: Eukaryota; Viridiplantae; Streptophyta; Magnoliopsida; Lamiales; Lamiaceae
Description: long non-coding RNA (SMIL_LNC003947)
Source: RNAcentral